RNAcentral lists this ribosomal RNA (496 nucleotides) under uncultured bacterium. RNAcentral describes it as "partial 16S ribosomal RNA". It matches the Rfam family "Bacterial small subunit ribosomal RNA", at positions 29 to 507 of the family's 1533-position model. The record is from RNAcentral.
AUGCACGCUGGCGGCGUGCCUAAUCCAUGCCAGUCGAGCGCACAGACGAGGAGCUUGCUCCUCUGACGUUAGCGGCGGACGGGUGAGUAACACGUGGAUAACCUACCUAUAAGACUGGGAUAACUUCGGGAAACCGGAGCUAAUACCGGAUAAUAUAUUGAACCGCAUGGUUCAAUAGUGAAAGACGGUUUUGCUGUCACUUAUAGAUGGAUCCGCGCCGCAUUAGCUAGUUGGUAAGGUAACGGCUUACCAAGGCAACGAUGCGUAGCCGACCUGAGAGGGUGAUCGGCCACACUGGAACUGAGACACGGUCCAGACUCCUACGGGAGGCAGCAGUAGGGAAUCUUCCGCAAUGGGCGAAAGCCUGACGGAGCAACGCCGCGUGAGUGAUGAAGGUCUUCGGAUCGUAAAACUCUGUUAUUAGGGAAGAACAAAUGUGUAAGUAACUAUGCACGUCUUGACGGUACCUAAUCAGAAAGCCACGGCUAACUACGUG